Molecule: ribosomal RNA, 823 nt
Filed under: Escherichia coli
Lineage: Bacteria; Pseudomonadati; Pseudomonadota; Gammaproteobacteria; Enterobacterales; Enterobacteriaceae
Description: partial 23S ribosomal RNA
Rfam family: Bacterial large subunit ribosomal RNA
Source: RNAcentral
GGUGACAGCCCCGUACACAAAAAUGCACAUGCUGUGAGCUCGAUGAGUAGGGCGGGACACGUGGUAUCCUGUCUGAAUAUGGGGGGACCAUCCUCCAAGGCUAAAUACUCCUGACUGACCGAUAGUGAACCAGUACCGUGAGGGAAAGGCGAAAAGAACCCCGGCGAGGGGAGUGAAAAAGAACCUGAAACCGUGUACGUACAAGCAGUGGGAGCCUCUUUAUGGGGUGACUGCGUACCUUUUGUAUAAUGGGUCAGCGACUUAUAUUCUGUAGCAAGGUUAACCGAAUAGGGGAGCCGAAGGGAAACCGAGUCUUAACUGGGCGUUAAGUUGCAGGGUAUAGACCCGAAACCCGGUGAUCUAGCCAUGGGCAGGUUGAAGGUUGGGUAACACUAACUGGAGGACCGAACCGACUAAUGUUGAAAAAUUAGCGGAUGACUUGUGGCUGGGGGUGAAAGGCCAAUCAAACCGGGAGAUAGCUGGUUCUCCCCGAAAGCUAUUUAGGUAGCGCCUCGUGAAUUCAUCUCCGGGGGUAGAGCACUGUUUCGGCAAGGGGGUCAUCCCGACUUACCAACCCGAUGCAAACUGCGAAUACCGGAGAAUGUUAUCACGGGAGACACACGGCGGGUGCUAACGUCCGUCGUGAAGAGGGAAACAACCCAGACCGCCAGCUAAGGUCCCAAAGUCAUGGUUAAGUGGGAAACGAUGUGGGAAGGCCCAGACAGCCAGGAUGUUGGCUUAGAAGCAGCCAUCAUUUAAAGAAAGCGUAAUAGCUCACUGGUCGAGUCGGCCUGCGCGGAAGAUGUAACGGGGCUAAACCAUG